AACGUAGGUGGCAAGCGUUAUCCGGAAUUACUGGGCGUAAAGUGUGUGCAGGCGGGUGAGCAAGUUGUGUGUGAAAUCUCCCAGCUUAACUGGGAUAGGUUAUGCCAUACUGCUUUUCUAGAGGACGAGAGAGGGGGGUGGAAUUCCGGGUGUAGUGGUGAAAUGCGUAGAGAUCCGGAGGAACCCCAGAGGCGAAGGCGGCCCCCUGGCUCGUACCUGACGCUCAGCCACGAAAGCAUGGGGAGCGAACGGG
This 253-nucleotide ribosomal RNA is filed under the name uncultured bacterium. Its description in RNAcentral is "partial 16S ribosomal RNA". It matches the Rfam family "Bacterial small subunit ribosomal RNA", at positions 524 to 776 of the family's 1533-position model. The record is from RNAcentral.